AGUGAUGCAUUAUUGCCCUUUAAAUGAAGAGAAGCAACCUCUACACCGAAUGAACUGACUUUUACAGCGUAGGACGAGAGAAUAAGCAUAAAGAAGAACCUCUCUCACUCACCACAGUUUAAAUCAAAAUUAUCUUAUGACAUAAAUAUACAACCAUAUGCAGGUUCCAACAUGAUUUUUUAUUUAUAUAAUAUAUAUUUCCUUUUCUAGGUGUUGAGUAAAGUUGAAAAAAAAUAAAGUAAAUUGUGACAAAUCCUUUAACUAUGUCAUAAAUGAAAUUUAAUUCUGUAAUUACUAAGAAAUCAAAUACUGAAAUAAGAAGGAAAAACAAAUAAAAGGGAAUAGUCAGAGGAAUGUGGGCUUUGAGUUGGACCCAUUUUUGGACUACUAAUAAGAGUAUAUGAAAGUGAUGUCUCAUAAACUUGUUUACUUCUUCUCUCAAGUGAAACUACACUUCUUCUCUCAUUCAUGUGAACCUGCGCUUCUUCUCCUCUGUUUUCUCAUUCAUUCAUUUCUACUUACCUCUUUUUUUUUUUUUUCCUCGAAUAAAAAACAAAAUAUCAAAGAUGCUUGCUAUAUGGAGAAAAGUUUAAUUAUUAUUUUUCAGAAAAGCAUCACGAGAUUGCUAUAUAGCUAAGUACACCUGGAUGUAAGAGUUUUUUUUUACAGUAUUUUCUUUCUUUUUUUGAUGAUUGGGAAUUUGGGAGUAUGAGUUUAGUUUAUAUAUAUAUAUUUUUUUUUUUGUUCAAAGUUUAUAUAUAUAUUUAAGUUUACUAUUGAUCAUUGUUAGUCAUUAUUAUAUAGUAACAGUUAUAAAAAAAAACAUCUAAAUCUAUAUAUUCGUUUUGUAGAUAUAUAUAAAAAAACUCACAUGUCCACCAUGGCAGCUACCUCCUCUGGCUUCUCAACUGCAUGUUCAUGCCAUGUUUCAUUGGACCUGUUUUUUUUUAAAACAAAACAUUUAUUAUUAUAUUAUUAUACAAUCCAACAAAUUAUUGUCUCAUUAAUCACUUGCUAUAUAUAUUAAUAUAUCAAAAUUUAUUUACACACUGCUUUUUGUUUCCUUAUUUCUUUUCAAUUGAUCGAUAACUAUAGAAUUAGUAUGCAUGUCGCUAAUAUCAGGGAUGAUCAAAUUAUAUUUGAAAACUCAUCGAUCAAAACCAGCAAUACCGACCUCUUCAAGGUUUAUACAUACAGUAUACAUUAAGGGGGAAAUAAAUUCAGGUUUCGCCAUUCUUGAUGAACGCUCACUAAUUCUUGGUGAACAGCAGAACAAGAACACGUAGAAUCAAAGCUACAUUGAGCUAGAAACUCUUUGAUGGAUCAUGGAUGUCAUACGUCUAACUAACCAAUGUAUAAAAUGAAGUGAGAAUCAUGAUGAUGAUACUAAAGUGAUUACCUGGAUGAACUAACGCCGAUAAACAGAGUUGCUAGAAGUAAUGCAGAAGCGAAGAGUAGAGUAAGCUUUCUGACAGCCGCCAUUGUUAUAUAUAUAUAUAUUGUUGUUCUUUCUCUGGUUAUGUUUAGUUGUCUCUGUCUCAGACAGAGGCAGAGGCAGAGGCCUUUUUCUCGAAAUAAAAAGAAAGGAAGAGGAAUAGGAGAAGAAGAAGACGAAGAAGAAGAAGAAGAAGGAGGGUAGAAGAAAGGCUACGGGAGAGACGAGUUAAUAUAAGAAGAAGAAUGCGUGACCAUUCCCAUUAUCUCUUAUCGCCUAAUUUCAUAUAAAAUAUAAAUAGAUAAAUAAAUAAAGGAACAUUUUCAAAAAGUGAUACUAAAAAU
RNAcentral lists this long non-coding RNA (1779 nucleotides) under Capsella grandiflora. RNAcentral's name for it is "long non-coding RNA (CGRA_LNC000232)". The record is from RNAcentral. Lineage: Eukaryota; Viridiplantae; Streptophyta; Magnoliopsida; Brassicales; Brassicaceae.